This 497-nucleotide ribosomal RNA is filed under the name uncultured bacterium. RNAcentral's name for it is "partial 16S ribosomal RNA". It matches the Rfam family "Bacterial small subunit ribosomal RNA", at positions 28 to 507 of the family's 1533-position model. The record is from RNAcentral.
GACGAACGCUGGCGGCGUGCUUAAUACAUGCAAGUCGAGCGAACAGACGCGGAGCUUGCUCCUCUGACGUUAGCCGCGGACGGGUGUGUCACACGUGUAUAACCUACCUAUAAGUCUGGUAUCACUUCGGGAAACCGGCUCUAACACCGGAUAAUCUAUUGAACCGCGUGGUUCAAUAGUGAAAGUCGGUUUUGCUGUCACUUCUAGAUGGAUCUGCGCCGCUUUAGCUAGUUGUGAAGGUAACGGCUUUCCAAGGCAACGAUGCGUAGCCGACGUGAGAGACUGGUAGGCCACCUGGGAACUGGGACAGGGACAAGGCGCCUACGGGAGGCAGCAGAAGGGAAUGUUCCGCAAUAGGCGAAAGCCUGACGGAACAACGCGACGUGAGUGAUGAAGGUCUUGGGAGCGGAAAGCUCUGUUAUGAGGGAAAAACAAAUGUGGAAGGAACUGUGCACGGCGUGACGGUACCUAGUCAGAAAGCAACGGCUAACUACGUG